RNAcentral lists this ribosomal RNA (501 nucleotides) under uncultured bacterium. RNAcentral's name for it is "partial 16S ribosomal RNA". It matches the Rfam family "Bacterial small subunit ribosomal RNA", at positions 30 to 523 of the family's 1533-position model. The record is from RNAcentral.
AUUGAACGCUGGCGGCAGGCUUAACACAUGCAAGUCGAGCGGGGAAAGGUAGCUUGCUACCUGACCUAGCGGCGGACGGGUGAGUAAUGCUUAGGAAUCUGCCUAUUAGUGGGGGACAACAUUCCGAAAGGAAUGCUAAUACCGCAUACGCCCUACGGGGGAAAGCAGGGGAUCUUCGGACCUUGCGCUAAUAGAUGAGCCUAAGUCAGAUUAGCUAGUUGGUGGGGUAAAGGCCUACCAAGGCGACGAUCUGUAGCGGGUCUGAGAGGAUGAUCCGCCACACUGGGACUGAGACACGGCCCAGACUCCUACGGGAGGCAGCAGUGGGGAAUAUUGGACAAUGGGCGCAAGCCUGAUCCAGCCAUGCCGCGUGUGUGAAGAAGGCCUUUUGGUUGUAAAGCACUUUAAGCGAGGAGGAGGCUACUUGGAUUAAUACUCUAGGAUAGUGGACGUUACUCGCAGAAUAAGCACCGGCUAACUACGUGCCAGCCGCCGCCGUGA